UCGCUCUUCAACGAGGAAUCCCUAGUAAGCACAAGUCACCAGCUUGUGCUGAUUACGUCCCUGCCCUUUGUACACACCGCCCGUCGCUACUACCGAUUGAAUGGCUUAGUGAGGCCCUCGGAUCGACUUUCUGAGACUGGCAACAGUCUCUGAUUGUUGAGAAGUUGGUCAAACUUGGUCAUUUAGAGGAAGUAAAAGUCGUAACAAGGUUUCCGUAGGUGAACCUGCGGAAGGAUCAUUACUGAUUUAGCGAACCGAGCAUUAGCGAGGUUUUGCGAUCACUUGUAUUUAAAACCCAACUCAUAUAAAAUAUGUAUAUUUUUGAAAAAUAAAUUAAAGAUCACUUUCAACAACGGAUCUCUUGGCUCUCGCAUCGAUGAAGAACGUAGCGAAGUGCGAUAAGUAAUGUGAAUUGCAGAAUUCCGUGAAUCAUCGAAUCUUUGAACGCAUAUUGCACUUUCUGGUAUUCCGGAAAGUAUGCCUGUUUGAGGGUCAGUUAAAUAAAAAUCGGUGUUGUUGCUGCUAUUAGUGGUGAUGCAUCGGAAUUGAGUUGUUCUUUGCCCUUUGGUAUAAGUGACUUAAAAUUUGUACGAUUUUUGAACGUAUUUAAAUUAUUUACGUACGUUCAUAAUAAUCAUAUAUUAGGUGCGGUCAUUAUUAUGAUUUCGCGCCUAUAAUUUUUUCAUUAUUUGACCUCAAAUCAGGUAAGAAUACCCGCUGAACUUAAGCAUAUCAAUAAGCGGAGGAAAAGAAAAUAACAAUGAUUCCCUUAGUAACGGCGAGUGAAGGGGGAUAAGCUCAAAUUUUAAAUCUGCUAGGUUUUACCUAUCAGAGUUGUAAUUUGAAGAAGCGUUUUCCGCGUCUCGGUUGACCCAAAUCCUUUGGGAUAUGGUAUCAUGGAGGGUGAGAAUCCCGUCCGGUUGACUUUGUGACGCUUUACGAUACGUUUUCAAAGAGUCGAGUUGUUUGGGAUUGCAGCUCAAAAUGGGAGGUAAAUUUCUCCUAAGGCUAAAUAUAGGCGAGAGACCGAUAGCGAACAAGUACCGUGAGGGAAAGAUGAAAAGAACUUUGAAAAGAGAGUUAAAUAGUACGUGAAAUUGUUGAAAGGGAAACGCUUGAAACCAGUCAUGCUGGUGUGAAAUCAGCCGUGUCGACGGUCGCGUGCUUGGCAUCGGGAGGGCAACCCCCGUGCUAUGUUCGGCGUUCGUCGUUCGGUGCACUUUCGCGCACGCAGGUCAGCGUCAGCUUUGAUCGCGGGAAAAAACCCCGGGAAGGUGAUCAUCGGUUCGCCGGUGGUGUUAUAGCCCUUAGCCCAUACCGCGUGUCGGGGUUGAGGAUCGCAGCGCACGCUUUCGCGCUUCGCGCCUGGAGACUGGUCGUCGCCGGACGGCAGACAGCUUGCUGACUGUCGACUGAACGUCACCCAACUCUCUAGACCGACGAUAUGUGCGCUUAGGAUGCUGACGUAAUGGUUUUAAACGACCCGUCUUGAAACACGGACCAAGGAGUCUAGCAUAUAUGCGAGUGU
This 1528-nucleotide ribosomal RNA is filed under the name uncultured Glomus. RNAcentral's name for it is "eukaryotic LSU rRNA". The stretch from base 691 to 1528 matches the Rfam family "Eukaryotic large subunit ribosomal RNA", at positions 1 to 693 of the family's 3401-position model. Lineage: Eukaryota; Fungi; Glomeromycota; Glomeromycetes; Glomerales; Glomeraceae. The record is from RNAcentral.